AAUCCAUGAUUUGGGCAUUCUUUUAGCAUCAUUUUGAAUUGCUCCUAUGCUUCAUAGAAAGGUUCAUUUGGUCUUUUCCUGAAUAUGGAAAUAUCAAAUUUAGAUU
RNAcentral lists this small nucleolar RNA (106 nucleotides) under Phaseolus vulgaris (common bean). Its description in RNAcentral is "Plant small nucleolar RNA R71". It matches the Rfam family "Plant small nucleolar RNA R71". From Rfam's summary of the family: R71 is a member of the C/D box family of snoRNAs containing the C (UGAUGA) and D (CUGA) box motifs. Multiple nearly identical copies of this snoRNA have been identified in Arabidopsis, and it is thought to function as a 2'-O-ribose methylation guide for 18S ribosomal RNA. The record is from Rfam by way of RNAcentral. Lineage: Eukaryota; Viridiplantae; Streptophyta; Magnoliopsida; Fabales; Fabaceae.